Molecule: ribosomal RNA, 468 nt
Filed under: uncultured bacterium
Lineage: Bacteria
Description: partial 16S ribosomal RNA
Rfam family: Bacterial small subunit ribosomal RNA
Source: RNAcentral
GACGAACGCUGGCGGCGUGCUUAACACAUGCAAGUCGAACGGAAAGGCCCUGCUUUUGUGGGGUGCUCGAGUGGCGAACGGGUGAGUAACACGUGAGUAACCUGCCCUUGACUUUGGGAUAACUUCAGGAAACUGGGGCUAAUACCGGAUAGGAGCUCCUUCUGCAUGGUGGGGGUUGGAAAGUUUCGGCGGUUGGGGAUGGACUCGCGGCUUAUCAGCUUGUUGGUGGGGUAGUGGCUUACCAAGGCUUUGACGGGUAGCCGGCCUGAGAGGGUGACCGGCCACAUUGGGACUGAGAUACGGCCCGGACUCCUACGGGAGGCAGCAGUGGGGAAUAUUGCACAAUGGGCGGAAGCCUGAUGCAGCAACGCCGCGUGCGGGAUGACGGCCUUCGGGUUGUAAACCGCUUUCGCCUGUGACGAAGCGUGAGUGACGGUAAUGGGUAAAGAAGCACCGGCUAACUACGUG